GUCUAAGGCUAUGCCACCCUGAACACGCCCGAUCCCGUCUGAUCUCAGAAGUUAAGCAGGGUUGGGCCUCCUUAGUACUUGAAUGGGAGACCACCUAGGAACAUCAGGUGCUGUAGGCG
Molecule: ribosomal RNA, 119 nt
Filed under: Pteropus alecto (black flying fox)
Lineage: Eukaryota; Metazoa; Chordata; Mammalia; Chiroptera; Pteropodidae
Source: RNAcentral